RNAcentral lists this long non-coding RNA (2594 nucleotides) under Bemisia tabaci. Its description in RNAcentral is "lncRNA ENSASIAIIG005727". Lineage: Eukaryota; Metazoa; Arthropoda; Insecta; Hemiptera; Aleyrodidae. The record is from RNAcentral.
CAGACUGUAAUUUAGUAUAGUAAUUGAAAAUUAAUAACCCCCAUUUCACAGUGUUAGUAAUGUUGAGAGUUUUAUCUAUUAAUGAGAAAUCUGAGGAUAACAUAUUCACGAUAAGUAUUAUUAGGAUAAACGAAAUGAAUGUAAGCUCCAGCGGUUGGAGAAUUCAGCGUUGUUCAACGCGGCACACCUGGUUCCAUAAAUUUUUUUUCUGGCACUUGUGUUUUGACGUAUCUUUUGACUUUUCUGUGACUAAACACUCAAUCAUUGAUUUUAAAAGCUCCAAAUUUGGCUGCAUCAAAUCGAGAAUCACUUUGCCUUUCUUUACUUAAAAGUCUAUCAUCGGUCUGGCCAAUUUUUUUUUACAUUUGCGUGCGUUAUCACUCGUCCUGAUAAACUUUUUAAGUUCACUUUGUUAGACUUUGAUGUUUAUUUUUAAGUUAUUCGAUUGCAUUUUUAAUCUCUUAUCGACUUUUAAUCUUUUGCUGGUGCAGUUACUUACUGAGUGCAUCUCUGAAAAAGUGUUUGGAUUUGUCAACUUUUCAUCCUUACUCUUCAGCAAACUUCAAUUUGGAAAUCUGAUUCUGGACUCGAUUUUGAGGUUAUCUGGUCCCAUCAGAUUAAUUACAAGAAAGUAUCGUAGUUUUUAAUCUUGCAUAUGUACUUGCGGCUAUUAAAAGUAAUUACUUUGGAUUUACCCAGUGCCGAUUAAGAGACUGAUUUGUCCCGAGGUUUCCUGACGGACAGUGACCGUAGACUCAAAAUGAACUACCAGAAUACUUACGGUUGAAGAAUGCAGGAUGAUUUCUGAAGCGUCAUGUUCAACAUCAAUUCCAUCAACAGCUCCAGGUUCAAUGGUGUGUUAUCAUACUCUACCAAGAAAACUACGAGCAGAAAAGAUAGGAAAGGCUGCAAAAAGGAAAAAAUCGAUUCAAUCCUGAAGGAUAAGAUGGUUUCAGCAUGUCGACCGCCAAUCCAGGUCAGCGACAAGAAGCAAGUGAAACACAUCUACCCGCGCCUCAACCACGGUCUGAAAACCAACCGCAAACCAGACCCCGAGCCGCUGGACCCCUACUCAUUCACUGAAGAUGCACAGCAGACAAAACGCUAUGCCAAGUUCCACGAUGAAGUUAACGGACAGUCGAGCAGCCUCGGUCAUAUCAUCAGCCGACAGCUCAAAAGUGGGUCAACUUACCGAACCAGUGACGAUAGUAGUUUCACUCGGCGGUUGAACGAGUGUGUAAAACCGCAGCCGAUAUUGAAGGCGGUCAAACCAGAUUCCUCGGCGAAUAGAUCUAAUUUAGCUUUUAAUUUCCCACAGAAGUGUAAAGUUCCAGAAGACUGUAAGUAUGGUUCACAGACCAAUGUUCCUACUGCUGAGAACAUUCUGCCAGAUUUCGGGAAAAGCAUUGGCAAGGUCGCUCUUCGACCCAAGAGGAAGCUGAGUAGCUGGAGGAAGGAUAAUGGUACGAAGCACGAGGCUCUCCAGAGAAUACAGGACCUCCUGAAAAGGGAAUCUCAACUGCAAUCUGACUUAUUUCCAUUAGAAUUCUCCAGUUCAGAAGAUGAAGCAGAUAUCAUCUGUGAUGCUAAGAACCUGGUUGAGCAAUGCUCGCUACCUUCAUUUCCUUCAGUGGAUCGGGAGACUAGGCUUUCCCAAAUCAAGAACGAAACCUGCAAAAAGCUCCAGCAGACGUUGAUUAAACUGAGUAGUUCGAAUAGUUGCCCGCCGCCUCUUGUUAGUUCUAUAAUUAAUGCCGCCAGGGUCUGUCCCUCGCAAACUGCUUUCCUUCUUAAUCCUCAGUACAACCCCUCGCUAAAAAAGACAGGUACGUGUUCUUGAUUCUAUCGAUUCUAUGAUGAUGAUUUGUGCAGAGUGGCCAAAAGCCUGGAAUGUCAGAAAAACCAGGAAUUGUCAGGGAGUUUGUAACGGCCGCGGAAAAUCAAAGAAUGUCGGGGAAAUUUAACAGAAAGUCAGGGAAUUUUGAUUGACUACAUUGUUCGUGUUGCUGAUGCGGUUGCGGUUAUUCCCUCUGGCGCAUUUCAAGUGAACAAUGAGGUUUAUACCCGAAAGUCAGUCUCUCUAUUUAAAUUCUCAAAAAGUAUCAUAGUUUAAGAAUACCUACAGAUUUGCUCUACCUGAGAUAAUUUUUAAAAUAGGGAGACUUACUUUUGGGUGUACCCUCGUAUUUGGGUCCCUUGAGCAUUUUCAUUUUUCCGAGUUGGUGUGUUUUUGUUCUCCCUGAUUCCAUUAUUUCGUGCAGAGAUGGGAAGUGUAAGUUUGGUGCAACUAAGGGAAGGUGAAGACUUAGAAUUUUCCAACCUUGGUUUUUCUGCUGUUUUACCUUGUCAGCAAGUGUGUAUAGCAAUUUUUCUCGAGUUUAAAAGUGAGGGAAUUUCUCAUAAAAGGUCAGGGAAUUUUAAGAUUCUAAACUUUUGGCCACCCUGUUUGUGAUAUUGUCAUUAUUGUAAACAGACUCCAGUGCUCCCUUACAUUUUUUUCAGAACUAGUUUGGCAUGUUUUUUAGGGUUGAAUCCACUCAAAGUGGCCAGAAGGAUAUCGACAGUUAAAUUUGAAAACCGCAUACCCUGGUUCG